This 468-nucleotide ribosomal RNA is filed under the name uncultured bacterium. RNAcentral describes it as "partial 16S ribosomal RNA". It matches the Rfam family "Bacterial small subunit ribosomal RNA", at positions 28 to 507 of the family's 1533-position model. The record is from RNAcentral.
GACGAACGCUGGCGGCGUGCUUAACACAUGCAAGUCGAACGGAAAGGCCCUGCUUUUGUGGGGUGCUCGAGUGGCGAACGGGUGAGUAACACGUGAGUAACCUGCCCUUGACUUUGGGAUAACUUCAGGAAACUGGGGCUAAUACCGGAUAGGAGCUCCUGCUGCAUGGUGGGGGGUGGAAAGUUUCGGCGGUUGGGGAUGGACUCGCGGCUUAUCAGCUUGUUGGUGGGGUAGUGGCUUACCAAGGCUGUGACGGGUAGCCGGCCUGAGAGGGUGAACGGCCACAAUGGGACUGAGAUACGGACCAGACGCCAACGGGAGGCAGCAGUGGGGAAUCUUGCCCAAUGGGCGGAAGUCUGAUGCAGAAACGCCGCGUGCGGGAUGACGGUCUGCGGGUUGUAAACCGCUUUCGCCUGUGACGACGCGUGAGUGACGGUACUGGGUAAAGAAGCACCGGCUAACUACGUG